GCUUGAGGGCCACGUGAGGGCUUUACUCUGAGGGAAAUGGGGAGCUGCCGCAGGGAUUUGAGCUCCAAAGUGACAAGAUCUGAGCCACCCUUUCCUCGCUAAAGGGCGUAAUUGCAGAAAGUGAUGGCGGAGGAGGCUGCUGCUUGAGGCCAUGAGAUUUAAGAAAAAGCCUAAUACUGGUUGCAAACCACCAAAAUGACCUCAUGUCCCACCGACAGAUCACAGUUUGCAGUUUGGAAAACACUACUCCAAGGUAGAAAUUAUGGACAUCUCCAGAACAGGGACCCAAAUGCAGUGUCUACACCGGGAACCUCACUGGCAAAGCCACAAGAAGGAUGAGGAGGAAGGAGAGAAACAUCAAAGCACCUGAAGGAAUCACCUAGGAGGAAGUUUCCAGACACUCCUUUCAGGUAGGAUUGCCAGACUAAGUACAGGAUGCUCAGUUGGAUUUGAAUUUCAGACAAUGAAGAUUUAACUGAGCGUCCUGUGUUUUUAUUUGCUGUGUCGGGCAACCCCACAUCCAGGACUGAGGUGGCAUGAAAGGGCCAGGCUGACCAGGAGGCCCAUGUAGGACUAACGGACAGCAAGAGAAGCUGAGGUCUCCAGGUACCCGGUACUGUUCGGCGGGAGGGGGGGGUGGGGCAGAAAC
Molecule: long non-coding RNA, 649 nt
Filed under: Felis catus (domestic cat)
Lineage: Eukaryota; Metazoa; Chordata; Mammalia; Carnivora; Felidae
Description: lncRNA (ENSFCAG00000047252.1)
Source: RNAcentral